This 465-nucleotide ribosomal RNA is filed under the name uncultured bacterium. RNAcentral describes it as "partial 16S ribosomal RNA". It matches the Rfam family "Bacterial small subunit ribosomal RNA", at positions 28 to 507 of the family's 1533-position model. The record is from RNAcentral.
GACGAACGCUGGCGGCGUGCUUAACACAUGCAAGUCGAACGGAAAGGCCCUGCUUGCAGGGUACUCGAGUGGCGAACGGGUGAGUAACACGUGGGUGAUCUGCCCUGCACUUCGGGAUAAGCCGGGGAAACUGGGUCUAAUACCGGAUAGGAGCCAUUUUUAGCGUGAUGGUUGGAAAGUUUUUUCGGUGUAGGAUGAGCUCGCGGCCUAUCAGCUUGUUGGUGGGGUAAUGGCCUACCAAGGCGGCGACGGGUAGCCGGCCUGAGAGGGUGGACGGCCACAUUGGGACUGAGAUACGGCCCAGACUCCUACGGGAGGAAGCAGUGGGGAAUAUUGCACAAUGGGCGCAAGCCUGAUGCAGCGACGCCGCGUGGGGGAUGACGGCCCUCGGGUUGUAAACUCCUUUCGCUAGGGACGAAGCUUUUUGUGACGGUACCUAGAUAAGAAGCACCGGCUAACUACGUG